CCUGAAAUUCACUUAGUUUUUGAAAGAAGAAAUAGUCCCAGGGAUGCCACCAAUAACAGUCCCCAUCAGAUAGAGGAACUUCCUGGACCUUCUUCAGCUGUGGACUCAUCUGUACAAGCAGGAGCUAAUUCAAACGAAUGGAUGAAGAUUUUAGAUCCAGGCAUGGCGUCUGUAUUGUUCUGCAGGACUCUGCUGAGGGAACAGAGCCAGUCAAAGCCACUGCGUUUCCACCUGGAUUUAAAAGACAGUCCUGAGGACCAAGAAAGAUCCAUUUUGUCUUUUUACAAGGCAAAGGGAGUGAACUGGGCUGCUCCACUAAAGUGCAUAUUAGAAGGAGAUGCUGCAAUUGGUGAUGGGGUCAAUAGACACCUCCUGAGUUUGACUAUUGAGAAGUUGAGGACUGGUUUUUCUCUCAAUUUUGGU
This is a long non-coding RNA of Cyprinus carpio (common carp), 423 nucleotides long. RefSeq lists it as uncharacterized. The record is from RefSeq and is a predicted model, not a curated record. NCBI's taxonomy places the organism in Eukaryota, Metazoa, Chordata, Actinopteri, Cypriniformes, Cyprinidae. The transcript is spliced from 3 exons.